GACGAACGCUGGCGGCGUGCUUAACACAUGCAAGUCGAACGGAAAGGCCCUGCUUUUGUGGGGUGCUCGAGUGGCGAACGGGUGAGUAACACGUGAGUAACCUGCCCUUGACUUUGGGAUAACUUCAGGAAACUGGGGCUAAUACCGGAUAGGAGCUCCUGCUGCAUGGUGGGGGUUGGAAAGUUUCGGCGGUUGGGGAUGGACUCGCGGCUUAUCAGCUUGUUGGUGGGGUAGUGGCUUACCAAGGCUUUGACGGGUAGCCGGCCUGAGAGGGUGACCGGCGACAUUGGGACUGAGAUACGGACCAGACUCCUACGGGAGGCAGCAGUGGGGAAUAUUGCACAAUGGGCGGAAGCCUGAGGCAGCAGCGCCGCGUGCGGGAAGACGGCCUUCGGGUUGUAAACCGCUUUCGCCUGUGACGAAGCGUGAGUGACGGUAAUGGGUAAAGAAGCACCGGCUAACUACGUG
Molecule: ribosomal RNA, 468 nt
Filed under: uncultured bacterium
Lineage: Bacteria
Description: partial 16S ribosomal RNA
Rfam family: Bacterial small subunit ribosomal RNA
Source: RNAcentral